AGCCACCGCACAGCCAAAUCCAGACCCACCGCCAAUUGAAGCAGGGAUGCCCAGUGACAAGGAACCACUGAGAGGAGGCCAGCGAGCAAGGGAGGAAGGAGGAAGAAGGGAAGCCUGUUUAUAUGCACAGAUGGAAGAACUGAGUUUAAGACACCGCGAGAGACUACUGAGCAGGGCCUGGAACCCCUGAGGAAACAUCUCAAAGAGCUGGCACCUCAUCCUUGAGCUGGGACUUCCAGAUUCAAACGGCCAGUAUUAGAAAAGGGACUCUCUCCUCCUGCCGCUUCUAUUGGCCUCCCCUCUCUCCCUCCCUUUACUCCACCCCCCAAAAAAGAGAAACUCAUUUAUCCAAUUCAAGCAAUCCCCCUUUUAAGGCGAGCGAAUUCCAAGCCGAGAAUCCCGAGGUCGUCCUGUACCACCAGCCGCUGACAGAAUGAUAAAAAGCCAUCCUUCUAUUAAUGGGUAUUUCCCAUCCGCUCAGCAACCCAGCUGGGGAAGACCAGCUAUAAUUAAUCUUUAACUCUGCGUCAAAAGGGAGAAAAGCAGGUGAAGGGGGGCGGCGGCAGCAGAGGAGAAAAGGGUGGAAACCAGAGCAGAGCAGAACCUGCCACUGGUUCUCACCCACUUUGCGAAAAAUUAACAAAUACACGGAAUGAGAUUUACCACACUGAGAAUUUCAUCAGGCAGCAAAGUCUAUAACAAAAACAGGCUGAUAUGCUGGGAUGGAUGUUUGUGUGGUUUUUUGUUUUUGUUUUUGCAGGAAACAUUUUUUAAGCCAUUGAUCUACUUCACUACCAACUUGUACACAAAUCAGCUUGUCUGACUUGCUUUAAAGAUAAACCCUAUUCCGGAAGGUA
Molecule: long non-coding RNA, 857 nt
Organism: Hemicordylus capensis (graceful crag lizard)
Lineage: Eukaryota; Metazoa; Chordata; Lepidosauria; Squamata; Cordylidae
Exons: 3
Source: RefSeq, a predicted model, not a curated record